Rhea pennata is the source of this 346-nucleotide long non-coding RNA. RefSeq lists it as uncharacterized. NCBI's taxonomy places the organism in Eukaryota, Metazoa, Chordata, Aves, Rheiformes, Rheidae. The transcript is spliced from 2 exons. The record is from RefSeq and is a predicted model, not a curated record.
UCAGUCAUAGAGGCAUGGAGCAAGCAAGAUUAUAUAUUGCUUGGUAUAUUGUAUACAGCAGAGAAAAGGCAGUCACUAGCCCCGUGGGAGCUGAGAGGAGGAGGAAGAGUACAUCAGAAAGCAUCUGCAGUGUCACUUCAUACUUCUUUAACUGCGGUCAUGAGAAAACCAUGAUGUCCUAACCUGGAUGACCUGGCUGAGGUGUGUUAGGCUGCUGUUUGAUGGAGCUGUUUCCUGAGACCAAAGAGGACAGAAAUCUCAGCAUAUGACCAGUUUAUAAGUUUUAUCUUUGUGAUUCUACACCAUUUUCUUAGUGUAUAAUAAAUCUUCCCUGAUUAUCAUCUGA